CAAAAAACCACUCUUCAUUCUCCUCUUAUUCCUCUACUCCACAUUCUCAUUUCCACGCAUCAAUGAUAAGAAUGUCAUUCUGACAAGUUAAAGUAGUAGUAAGGUUGUUAAGCAACUUUCACAGUGAUAGAAAAUAGGAAGAAAGAGAGAGGACAAGCAAAAGAGAGAGUACAAACAAGUGAAAGAGAAGAAUAGCCAAAGCUAAACCUAGCCACUUUUGGCCAUAACUUAAGGGCACUGAAGCUUGGGAAGUAAACCUCAAUGCAAAUUGGAACCCCAGCAGCCAUUUCCCGACCAUAAGUUUGCUAGAAAUGAUGGAAAGAGAGAGAGAGAGAGAG
RNAcentral lists this unclassified non-coding RNA (338 nucleotides) under Hevea brasiliensis (rubber tree). The record is from RNAcentral. Lineage: Eukaryota; Viridiplantae; Streptophyta; Magnoliopsida; Malpighiales; Euphorbiaceae.